ACACUCCUACGGGAGGCAGCAGUGGGGAAUUUUGGACAAUGGGCGAAAGCCUGAUCCAGCAAUGCCGCGUGAGUGAAGAAGGCCUUCGGGUUGUAAAGCUCUUUUGUCAGGGAAGAAACGGUGAGAGCUAAUAUCUCUUGCUAAUGACGGUACCUGAAGAAUAAGCACCGGCUAACUACGUGCCAGCAGCCGCGGUAAUACGUAGGGUGCAAGCGUUAAUCGGAAUUACUGGGCGUAAAGCGUGCGCAGGCGGUUUUGUAAGUCUGAUGUGAAAUCCCCGGGCUCAACCUGGGAAUUGCAUUGGAGACUGCAAGGCUAGAAUCUGGCAGAGGGGGGUAGAAUUCCACGUGUAGCAGUGAAAUGCGUAGAUAUGUGGAGGAACACCGAUGGCGAAGGCAGCCCCCUGGGUCAAGAUUGACGCUCAUGCACGAAAGCGUGGGGAGCAAACAGGAUUAGAAACCCCAGUAGUCCCAUG
This 475-nucleotide ribosomal RNA is filed under the name uncultured organism. RNAcentral's name for it is "partial 16S ribosomal RNA". It matches the Rfam family "Bacterial small subunit ribosomal RNA", at positions 333 to 799 of the family's 1533-position model. The record is from RNAcentral.